ACAGCGGAGAUUCUGGAGCUGGCUGGCAAUGCAGCGAGAGACAACAAGAAGGGACGGGUCACACCCCGGCACAUCCUGCUGGCUGUGGCCAAUGAUGAAGAGCUGAAUCAGCUGCUAAAAGGAGUCACCAUAGCCAGUGGGGGUGUGUUACCCAACAUCCACCCCGAGUUGCUAGCGAAGAAGCGGGGAUCCAAAGGAAAGUUGGAAGCCAUCAUCACACCACCCCCAGCCAAAAAGGCCAAGUCUCCAUCCCAGAAGAAGCCUGUAUCUAAAAAAGCAGGAGGCAAGAAAGGGGCCCGGAAAUCCAAGAAGCAGGGUGAAGUCAGUAAGGCAGCCAGCGCCGACAGCACAACCGAGGGCACACCUGCCGACGGCUUCACAGUCCUCUCCACCAAGAGCCUCUUCCUUGGCCAGAAGGUAGGCAGAUGCGCGGCCUCAGUCUACUCGAGGGCCCCAAGGGACAGAUGGGCACAGGCUACCUCCACUGGAAGGCUGGGG
RNAcentral lists this small RNA (498 nucleotides) under Pan troglodytes (chimpanzee). Its description in RNAcentral is "retained intron". Lineage: Eukaryota; Metazoa; Chordata; Mammalia; Primates; Hominidae. The record is from RNAcentral.